GAUGAACGCUGGCGGCGUGCCUAAUACAUGCAAGUCGAGCGAACAGACGAGGAGCUUGCUCCUCUGACGUUAGCGGCGGACGGGUGAGUAACACGUGGAUAACCUACCUAUAAGACUGGGAUAACUUCGGGAAACCGGAGCUAAUACCGGAUAAUAUAUUGAACCGCAUGGUUCAAUAGUGAAAGACGGUUUUGCUGUCACUUAUAGAUGGAUCCGCGCCGCAUUAGCUAGUUGGUAAGGUAACGGCUUACCAAGGCAACGAUGCGUAGCCGACCUGAGAGGCUGAUCGGCCACACUGGAACUGAGACACGGUCCAGACUCCUACGGGAGGCAGCAGUAGGGAAUCUUCCGCAAUGGGCGAAAGCCUGACGGAGCAACGCCGCGUGAGUGAUGAAGGUCUUCGGAUCGUAAAACUCUGUUAUUAGGGAAGAACAAAUGUGUAAGUAACUAUGCACGUCUUGACGGUACCUAAUCAGAAAGCCACGGCUAACUACGUG
Molecule: ribosomal RNA, 497 nt
Filed under: uncultured bacterium
Lineage: Bacteria
Description: partial 16S ribosomal RNA
Rfam family: Bacterial small subunit ribosomal RNA
Source: RNAcentral